Molecule: long non-coding RNA, 254 nt
Filed under: Mytilus galloprovincialis (Mediterranean mussel)
Lineage: Eukaryota; Metazoa; Mollusca; Bivalvia; Mytilida; Mytilidae
Source: RNAcentral
GGUCGGUUGAAAACAAAAUUUUACGACAAAAGAGAUGAUUUCAGCUUUCCAAUUGUGAACUUUCCAUUUCUAAGUAGCAACAUUCCAGCAGCACCUGCAUACGGGGUAUAUAUCUCCCAAUUGAUACGAUAUUCCCGUGCUUGCUUUUCCUAUCAUGAUUUUCUUGAUAGAGGGUUGCUGCUCACAAGGAAGCUAUUAAACCAAGAGUUCCAAAUGGUGAAGUUGAAAUCAUCCCUUCGUAAAUUUUACGGACG